AACUCAGGAGAGUCUCUUAUUUUAAGAGCGCCGAAGGUGUACGCAGCGUGGGCUGUAAAUCUCUCAGGCAAAAGGAUGGAGGAGUA
Molecule: non-coding RNA, 86 nt
Filed under: Faecalicatena contorta
Lineage: Bacteria; Bacillati; Bacillota; Clostridia; Lachnospirales; Lachnospiraceae
Description: Glycine riboswitch
Rfam family: Glycine riboswitch aptamer
About the family: This family represents the bacterial glycine riboswitch. Glycine riboswitches usually consist of two metabolite-binding aptamers domains with similar structures in tandem. The aptamers cooperatively bind glycine to regulate the expression of downstream genes.
Source: RNAcentral